This is a long non-coding RNA of Juglans microcarpa x Juglans regia, 307 nucleotides long. RefSeq lists it as uncharacterized. NCBI's taxonomy places the organism in Eukaryota, Viridiplantae, Streptophyta, Magnoliopsida, Fagales, Juglandaceae. The transcript has 3 exons. The record is from RefSeq and is a predicted model, not a curated record.
ACUCACUUUUGAGGAUAUGGUGUUGAAGAAUGAUCUUAGUGCUAUUCGAAACGAUUCCCCUCUUCUUCUUACACGGAACCUUAUGCAUAGGAGCUCCUCAACCCCGUGUCUGUCACCUACUGGGAGGGAUAACUAGCAGAGAGAUCGGAGUGGUCCUAUUGAGAUAUUAGGACAAUCGACUCACUUUGCUAAAAUGAAACAGCUGGUCAAGGAAAUUGUGAAGGCAAUUAAGAUCGGGGUUAAUCCGGUUGCUGUUCAUGGUGGACUUGGUGGUGCGUACUAUUUUAGGAAUAUCAAAGGUGAGAAU